GGUUGUAUAACGCAAUGGUAACGCGUUUGCUUUUGUAGCAAAAAGUUCCGGGUUUAACUUCCGGUGCAACCG
This is a transfer RNA of Gaeumannomyces graminis, 72 nucleotides long. It matches the Rfam family "tRNA". Rfam says of the family: Transfer RNA (tRNA) molecules are approximately 80 nucleotides in length. Their secondary structure includes four short double-helical elements and three loops (D, anti-codon, and T loops). NCBI's taxonomy places the organism in Eukaryota, Fungi, Ascomycota, Sordariomycetes, Magnaporthales, Magnaporthaceae. The record is from Rfam.